CUCUGUGCGCGCGCGCGGGGGGCUGCGCUCCCGGGGCUUAUUUCUUCUUUUCCUUUCCUUUUUCUUUUUUCUUUUUUCUCUUCCCUCCGAACGGGGUGUGUAUUUGCUCGCCCUUAGGUGGGCAGUUCUCAGAGCCCCUCCCCAGCCUGAUACGUUCGCUUAGAAAGUGUCCAGCCCGGCUCACGCAGCGGACCCGCACCCCGAGUGCGCUCGGCCGGGCCCCCGGGUGAGGGUCCCAGGGAAGACGGUCCUCCCCAGCACCAGCGCCUACCCGCACCCCAAGACACAAAAGCUGGCGCAGGAAGCUCGGGGAGCGCGCGUGUGUCAACUCCAACGUUCGCGCCGGCCCAGGCGGCGGGUAUCUUCAAGCCUGUGAAUGAGCCAGAUGCCGGUUGUCGCGCCCCGGUGCCCGGCGUGAGAAGGGCCGCGCCCAUCCGCCACGGGCAUGCCCCGCCAGCCU
RNAcentral lists this long non-coding RNA (460 nucleotides) under Fukomys damarensis (Damara mole-rat). RNAcentral describes it as "lncRNA (ENSFDAG00000030282.1)". Lineage: Eukaryota; Metazoa; Chordata; Mammalia; Rodentia; Bathyergidae. The record is from RNAcentral.